AGUGAACGCUGGCGGUAGGCCUAACACAUGCAAGUCGAACGGCAGCACAGGAGAGCUUGCUCUCUGGGUGGCGAGUGGCGGACGGGUGAGGAAUACAUCGGAAUCUACUUUUUCGUGGGGGAUAACGUAGGGAAACUUACGCUAAUACCGCAUACGACCUACGGGUGAAAGCAGGGGACCUUCGGGCCUUGCGCGAUUGAAUGAGCCGAUGUCGGAUUAGCUAGUUGGCGGGGUAAAGGCCCACCAAGGCGACGAUCCGUAGCUGGUGUGAGAGGAUGAUCAGCCACACUGGAAAUGAGACACGGUACAGACUCCUACGGGGGGCAGCAGUGGGGAAUAUUGGACAAUGGGCGCAAGCCUGAUCCAGCCAUACCGCGUGGGUGAAGAAGGCCUUCGGGUUGUAAAGCCCUUUUGUUGGGAAAGAAAUCCAGCUGGCUAAUACCCGGUUGGGAUGACGGUACCCAAAGAAUAAGCACCUGCUAACUUCGUGCCAGCAGCCGCCGCCG
Molecule: ribosomal RNA, 506 nt
Filed under: uncultured bacterium
Lineage: Bacteria
Description: partial 16S ribosomal RNA
Rfam family: Bacterial small subunit ribosomal RNA
Source: RNAcentral